GGCGAACGCUGGCGGCGUGCUUAACACAUGCAAGUUGAACGGAAAGGCCCUGCUUUUGUGGGGUGCUCGAGUGGCGAACGGGUGAGUAACACGUGAGUAACCUGCCCUUGACUUUGGGAUAACUUCAGGAAACUGGGGCUAAUACCGGAUAGGAGCUCCUGCUGCAUGGUGGGGGUUGGAAAGUUUCGGCGGUUGGGGAUGGACUCGCGGCUUAUCAGCUUGUUGGUGGGGUAGUGGCUUACCAAGGCUUUUACGGGUAGCCGGCCUGAGAGGGUGACCGGCCACAUUGGGACUGAGAUACGGCCCAGACUCCUACGGGAGGCAGCAGUGGGGAAUAUUGCACAAUGGGCGGAAGCCUGAUGCAGCAACGCCGCGUGCGGGAUGACGGCCUUCGGGUUGUAAACCGCUUUCGCCUGUGACGAAGCGUGAGUGACGGUAAUGGGUAAAGAAGCACCGGCUAACUACGUG
RNAcentral lists this ribosomal RNA (468 nucleotides) under uncultured bacterium. RNAcentral's name for it is "partial 16S ribosomal RNA". It matches the Rfam family "Bacterial small subunit ribosomal RNA", at positions 28 to 507 of the family's 1533-position model. The record is from RNAcentral.